Molecule: long non-coding RNA, 1357 nt
Organism: Salvia miltiorrhiza (redroot sage)
Lineage: Eukaryota; Viridiplantae; Streptophyta; Magnoliopsida; Lamiales; Lamiaceae
Exons: 7
Source: RefSeq, a predicted model, not a curated record
AAAAAAAUAAUUUUUUACCGAGGAAUUUCCGACGGAUUUUUUUCCCUCGGUAAUUAUCGAGUAAUUAGCGAGAGUUUUCCUAGGAAUUUUCUAGUUUCAAUUAUACCAACAUUUUACCGAGUGAUUACCGAGGUCAAUAUUUACCGAGAGGAGAAUUCCCUCGGUAAAUGUUAGUUUUAAUUAUAUUUAGAUUAAAUUUAAUUAUAAAUUAUUAGUAGUAUUUUGUACCGAGAGAACUGAGUCCUCGGUAAAUGAUUUUCAGUUAUACAGAGUACUAUCCCUUGGUAAAUUAAAACUAAAAUGAUACCGUCUCGCUUUCCUCCUCAUAACAUUUCCCCUCCCUGCCCUAAUCUUCCUCACCUCCUCUCUCGCCGUCGCCGCUGCCGCUGCCGUCCACCACCCCCACAUCCACCUCCCUUCUGCCGCCGCUGUUGCUGCUAGCCUUAGUUUUUCGAAGUUAAUUCCAGAGCUGCUCUGCUUCGAGAUCGAGGAUGGAGUUUGAUUGAGGAAUUAUUUAUAGAAACUAAAAGAACAAAUUGCACAUUAGGUGGAGUAAAAGAAAUUACCCUUCUCCUUCUUCUAUAACUUGAAAGAUUUAGUUUUGGGGCGUGGUGUAUUAAAGAAGGUUGAAUUGGAUGAGGAGUAUGAAGGAAAUGUUGAGGCCACUGGAGAUCGGAGGACUACUCUGUUGAACCAGUUGACAACACCUUGGUGUUGGUCUGUUGAAGACCACAACCGGUUUGGUGCACUCUUGUUAGAUUGUAUUCUGGUUUUAAUUAUAGUGAUUUGUUUAUCUUGCUGCUUAAUUAGAACAUUGCAAUGUUCUAGAUGUAUUAAUUUCAUCUUAUUAAUAACUGAAUAACAGUGCAUUCCAUGUAGAAUAUUCUCAACUAACUCUACUUGAUGCUGGAUCAUCCCCAUAGUGCUGGAAACAACUUGAUGCUGAGAUUUUGAUGGAAGAUGAGCCCCACAAGUAUCAGACUCACUUUAGUGAAUACAUUAAGAGGGGAAUUGAGGCAGAUAACAUUGAGGAGAGGUACAAGAAGGUCCAUGCUGUCAUUAGAGCUACUCCUCUUCAAAACAAGGCUGAGAACACAAGAGAUACAACCUUAAGAAGUUGAGUUAUGAGGAGAGGAAGGCCAAGUUGAUUGAAAGGUUAAAUGCUUUGAAUGUUGCUGCUGGGAACGACACGAUUAUAACGAGUGAACGACGACUUUGUGAAGCCCCUAUUUCUCAAUUGUGGUUGUUUUUUUUAAUGGAAUUCAUAUCGCAUUUUUGUUAUCUCUUGCACAUUAGGUUGUGACAUCAUAUGAUUUUAAGUCUAAAUUAUCUAUUCACAAUUUUCACUUUUUGGAAA